GCUGGGUGUGGUGGUGUGCACCUUCAGUCCCAGCUACUCAGGAGGCUGAGGUGGGAGGAUUGCUUGAACCCAGGGAUUUGAGGCUGCAGUGAGCUAGGAUUGUGCCACUGCACUCCAGCCUGAGUGACAGAGCAAGACCCCAUCUCAA
This 148-nucleotide non-coding RNA is filed under the name Nomascus leucogenys (northern white-cheeked gibbon). Lineage: Eukaryota; Metazoa; Chordata; Mammalia; Primates; Hylobatidae. The record is from Rfam by way of RNAcentral.